UAGCAUAAUAAUUUGUCUUUUAAUUAAAGACUAGAACAAAAGACUUAACAUCUUAAUAAAUAUUUUAAAUUAAUAAAUCCAAAUUUUCUUAAAUGUAAAAAGACAUUUAUAAAAAAAAAAGACGAUAAGACCCUAUCGAACUUAACUGAAGUUAAACUGGGGCAGUUAAUUAAUUAUUAUUUUAAUUCAAUUUUCAAAUUAAAAUAGACCUAAUAUUAUUAACAACAUAAUUAAGUUACCGUAGGGAUAACAGCGUAAUAAAAUUUUAAAGAUCUUAUUGAAAAUUUAACUUACGACCUCGAUGUUGAUUAAUAACCUUAUUAUAUAUAUAUAUAUAUAUACAUAUACAUAAUUAUAUAAUUACGCAAUAGUUAAUAAAGGAAGUCUGUUCGACUUUUAAAAAAUUACA
This 409-nucleotide ribosomal RNA is filed under the name Allocosa sp. PS114. Its description in RNAcentral is "partial 16S ribosomal RNA". The record is from RNAcentral. Lineage: Eukaryota; Metazoa; Arthropoda; Arachnida; Araneae; Lycosidae.